GCUUCAAUCGAUUAACGGUUAAAUCACGCCCUUCACACGGGCGAGCCCCCGGUUCGAUUCCGGGUUGAAGCA
This 72-nucleotide transfer RNA is filed under the name Mycosarcoma maydis (corn smut). Its description in RNAcentral is "tRNA-Val (CAC) (tRNA-Val-CAC-1-1)". It matches the Rfam family "tRNA". From Rfam's summary of the family: Transfer RNA (tRNA) molecules are approximately 80 nucleotides in length. Their secondary structure includes four short double-helical elements and three loops (D, anti-codon, and T loops). Lineage: Eukaryota; Fungi; Basidiomycota; Ustilaginomycetes; Ustilaginales. The record is from RNAcentral.